GCGGACGUGGUGGAAUGGUAGACACAAGGGACUUAAAAUCCCUCGCUGGUAAUCGGUGUGCGAGUUCGAGUCUCGCCGUCCGCA
RNAcentral lists this transfer RNA (84 nucleotides) under Alphaproteobacteria bacterium GM202ARS2. RNAcentral describes it as "tRNA-Leu". It matches the Rfam family "tRNA". From Rfam's summary of the family: Transfer RNA (tRNA) molecules are approximately 80 nucleotides in length. Their secondary structure includes four short double-helical elements and three loops (D, anti-codon, and T loops). Further hydrogen bonds mediate the characteristic L-shaped molecular structure. tRNAs have two regions of fundamental functional importance: the anti-codon, which is responsible for specific mRNA codon recognition, and the 3' end, to which the tRNAs corresponding amino acid is attached (by aminoacyl-tRNA synthetases). tRNAs cope with the degeneracy of the genetic code in two manners: having more than one tRNA (with a specific anti-codon) for a particular amino acid; and 'wobble' base-pairing, i.e. permitting non-standard base-pairing at the 3rd anti-codon position. Lineage: Bacteria; Pseudomonadati; Pseudomonadota; Alphaproteobacteria. The record is from RNAcentral.